UUGAAAGUUUUAAACUAGAGCCCGACCGAUAUGGGUUUUUUUGGGGACCGAUACCGAUAUUGGGGAGUAAAAAAGGCCGAUGUCAAUAUAUCGGCCAAUGUUCUUUGUGUAUAUUAUAGUACAGU
Long non-coding RNA from Sinocyclocheilus rhinocerous, 125 nucleotides. RefSeq lists it as uncharacterized. NCBI's taxonomy places the organism in Eukaryota, Metazoa, Chordata, Actinopteri, Cypriniformes, Cyprinidae. The transcript has 3 exons. The record is from RefSeq and is a predicted model, not a curated record.